GACGAACGCUGGCGGCGUGCCUAAUACAUGCAAGUUGAGCGCUGAAGGUUGGUACUUGUACCGACUGGAUGAGCAGCUAACGGGUGAGUAACGCGUGGGGAAUCUGCCUUUGAGCGGGGGACAACAUUUGGAAACGAAUGCUAAUACCGCAUAAAAACUUUAAACACAAGUUUUAAGUUUGAAAGAUGCAAUUGCAUCACUCAAAGAUGAUCCCGCGUUGUAUUAGCUAGUUGGUGAGGUAAAGGCUCACCAAGGCGAUGAUACAUAGCCGACCUGAGAGGGUGGUCGGCCACAAUGGGACUGAGACAAGGCCCAAACUCCUACGGGAGGCAGCAGUAGGGAAUCUUCGGAAAUGGACGAAAGUCUGACCGAGCAACGCCGCGUGAGUGAAGAAGGUUUUCGGAUCGUAAAACUCUGUUUGUAGAGAAGAACGAUGGUGAGAGUGGAAAGCUCAUCAAGUGACGGUAACUACCCAGAAAGGGACGGCUAACUACGUG
This 497-nucleotide ribosomal RNA is filed under the name uncultured bacterium. RNAcentral's name for it is "partial 16S ribosomal RNA". It matches the Rfam family "Bacterial small subunit ribosomal RNA", at positions 28 to 507 of the family's 1533-position model. The record is from RNAcentral.